UAAUUCUUCAAUGUUGUAAUUGGUUAUCAAUAUCAAACAGAUAUGAAAUAAUUGUUUAAGAUUUAACCGAAACUAUGAAAUGUAACAUACAUUAUUUAGAGUUUUGUGACAUGAGUUUUAUAUUACGCGGAUUCAAGAUUUUUGAAAGGGGGGAGUCAUUGGUGAAUCACAUUUUCUGCGAUCAAAGGGGAGAUACUCCUUUAUCCGCCAUAGAAUCACAUUGAAAACAUUAUAACAAAAAUUCCAAUAACAAUUGAUACUGGCAUGACCGUUGUAACAGAAUAUGACAAACACUGUCACAAUAACAUAUGAACACACACAAUCACAAGGAAAUCAAUGUAUAUACACUUAGUUACACGCUAUUUUCAUUUCUUUUGACUUGAGCUUCAUUUUGUGUUAUUGCAGUACAUGAAUCAGUAAUAAAUACAUUUGUUAGAUGUUAGAUUGCAAUGCUGUCAUGUUAUCAAUAAUUUUAUAAGUUGAUACUUCCCAAACAAUCAUAAAGGUACAAAAUACGAAUGUUUGAUAUAAUCAUCUGCAUUUUUACUUGAUAGAAACAAAUCUGUAUUUAGAGUAUACCCGGAAAACUUAUAAAUUUAUAUAUAACUAACGUAUUAGACAUUUUACAUAAAUUGAUAUAGGUGAAGCAACAUGCUAGUUUUAAUUUAAUUUUUUCCUAAGUAAAAGAGUUAUUUAAGGAGGAAGACCUAGGUUAAGGGAAAUAACUCUUAAAAUCAUCAGUACGUUUGUGUCAACCAUUUUCAAAAAAUAUAUUCUAAGCUUCUAGGUUACAUAGAUUAUUUUCAAUCUGUUUCAGGUAAAUGCUUAAAAUACAUUGAUGAACUCGACUUUUACAAACGCAUAACUGAUUUACAGAGUUAUCUCCCUGAACCAAGGUCUACCCCCUUAAACUUUGAAAUAUUUCCGUAUGUAUAACAAAUCGCUGAUAUGUAUUCUUGAUCCUAGAGAUAGUUAGAAUUUAGGUUGCUUCUGCAUAUGACCUUUUAGAGAAAGACGUGUAUUUGAUGUAAAGGUUGUAUUGUGAUAAAUGGUAUAAAAAGAAAAACAUCUGACCAUAAAUAUUACAAAGUAAUGAAGAAUAUCUAUUUACAAAAUGAUGUUUCAUUUAUUAGUAUGAGGGAUUUGAUUGGCGGUUAAGUAGUGCAAAACUUAACAUUGAUUUAAAUGUUAAUUUGUAGCAAGACAUCAACGAUGCCAUAUAUGAAAAAAAUGAAAUUAAUAAAAUGCAUAAAAAACAUGAAGAUAAUAUUUUUGUUUAAUGAGAUUUACGUGUAGUUUCGAACAGGUAUACUUCGAAACUCUCAAAACAUAAACAGAAAAUUCUAAUGCAAUUAUUUUGUAUCAAUGGUUCUGAUUGGAUGACAGUUAGCGUAAAACUCUCUAUCUCCUUGCCUGUAACUAAGGAAGCCGAUAUUUUGAAUUGCUGAAUGUAUUGUCAUGUAAUUUCUACAAUAACAAGCCCAAAAAACUCACAUGUUGCACCUAAAAAUCUUCUUUUUAUCAAAUUUUAUUACAUUCUGAAGUGGCACAGACGCUAGAGAACGCCCGGUGUUUAUGUUUGACGCAGGAAGCAUACCGAUGACGUCACUUAGUGUAGGUACCAAAGACGAUAACAUCUUUUCGCGGAAUUUACUUUAAUGAAGAUUUCACCCUGAAAUAAUUAUGAACUUGUUUUGCAUUAGAAUAAGGAUAACUGUAUUGUAUUUGAAGCUUUGCGGACGUCCAUCGGUAGUUGUACUGUCGCAAAUACCCGUUUAUCUGUCUCCUCUACGCGUCGCCAGGCAAACUUAAUUUGCGACAGUAAAAACUACCGAUGGACGUCCUUAAAGUUUCAAAUACAAUACAGUUAUCUCUUAAGUGGUAGAAGGGAGACCAACUAUACUAAAUGGGUAUUAAACUCAUAAAUUGAAAACAAACUGACAAGG
RNAcentral lists this long non-coding RNA (1946 nucleotides) under Mytilus galloprovincialis (Mediterranean mussel). Lineage: Eukaryota; Metazoa; Mollusca; Bivalvia; Mytilida; Mytilidae. The record is from RNAcentral.